Molecule: long non-coding RNA, 820 nt
Filed under: Pan troglodytes (chimpanzee)
Lineage: Eukaryota; Metazoa; Chordata; Mammalia; Primates; Hominidae
Description: lincRNA
Source: RNAcentral
UUUUCAACUCAAGGCAUCUGAGUUCCUCCUCAUCAAGUCAAGGGAAGGAAACCGACUCCGCCUCUGAUGGCUGCAACAGUAUGCACAUUCAGGGAGGAAAGGAAUUAACAGUGGUCAUCUUUCUGGACCAUCUACCACAGUGGCUAAAGUUAACACCUAGAAAGGAAGGUCCUGUUUUCAGCUUCUUUGACUGCUGCUCCGGGUGUCAAACCCUGAAGGGUGAGCUGACGCUAAAGACUGAGUGGUUAUUUUCUCCAGAAGAGGAGAAAGAUUGAAAAUGUGGCCGGCCGAUUCUCCCUGAUGAUCACACAGACAGACCUGCAUGACAGUCACACAGACAGGCCUGCAUAGCACCCCAGUUACACAGACGAAUUUCCCCAGAGCUGCCUUAACAUUGAGCAAAUAGUUAAACCUAGGGAAAUUGGUGCCCAGACAGCAAAGCUAGAAAUGAAACAUAUGGUCAGUAGGAGCCUUGCGUGGGCUUCUCCCUAACCUGGAGCAAACCAAAAUAAUAGAGACAGUCUUUCAUUCCUACUGCCAGGACCCGUCUCGGGUCAACAAAAUCUGAGACAGUCAAGGUAACAGAGGCAGCUGUUCGAAUAGAUUCAUUGGAGAGUCUAAGGCAGGCCUCCAGACCAAGCUGUAAAGCAGAUAAGAUAGAAAUAAUCACUCUGGUACCACAGUAGACAGGCCUUGAAGGUACUGGGCUGCUCACAGCUUAAUCCGACUUAGAAAGCAUUUUUGCCUAUGACCUUCUAGUUGAAACAAAAUUAGUUACCAGUAGACUUAGGCGAAUAAACUGCACAUAGGCACAUAACCC